GAAUAUGGGGGGACCAUCCUCCAAGGCUAAAUACUCCUGACUGACCGAUAGUGAACCAGUACCGUGAGGGAAAGGCGAAAAGAACCCCGGCGAGGGGAGUGAAAAAGAACCUGAAACCGUGUACGUACAAGCAGUGGGAGCCCCACCACUAAGCCAGUGGUGAACUCCACAUCCGCAUCCUUUGCUGAGGAUACGGUUAACGGAGCGAAAGCGACGUUCAACCGCAAAACAAGCAGAGGGGGCUUAGUGGUGGGGUGACUGCGUACCUUUUGUAUAAUGGGUCAGCGACUUAUAUUCUGUAGCAAGGUUAACCGAAUAGGGGAGCCGGAGGGAAACCGAGUCUUAAUUGGGCGUUAAGUUGCAGGGUAUAGACCCGAAACCCGGUGAUCUAGCCAUGGGCAGGUUGAAGGUUGGGUAACACUAACUGGAGGACCGAACCGACUAAUGUUGAAAAAUUAGCGGAUGACCUGUGGCUGGGGGUGAAAGGCCAAUCAAACCGGGAGAUAGCUGGUUCUCCCCGAAAGCUAUUUAGGUAGCGCCUCGUGAAUUCAUCUCCGGGGGUAGAGCACUGUUUCGGCUAGGGGGCCAUCCCGGCUUACCAACCCGAUGCAAACUGCGAAUACCGGAGAAUGUUAUCACGGGAGACACACGGCGGGUGCUAACGUCCGUCGUGAAGAGGGAAACAACCCAGACCGCCAGCUAAGGUCCCAAAGUCAUGGUUAAGUGGGAAACGAUGUGGGAAGGCCCAGACAGCCAGGAUGUUGGCUUAGAAGCAGCCAUCAUUUAAAGAAAGCGUAAUAGCUCACUGGUCGAGUCGGCCUGCGCGGAAGAUGUAACGGGGCUAAACCAUGCACCGAAGCUGCGGCAGCGAACGUAUCACCCAAGACAACUUUACGGAGUUGACGAUUGACGGAGCGAAGCGACGUCAAAGCGUUCAUUAAAGUCGAGUUGGCUUAGGGAUACGUUCGUUGGGUAGGGGAGCGUUCUGUAAGCCUGUGAAGGUGUGUCGUGAGGCAUGCUGGAGGUAUCAGAAGUGCGAAUGCUGACAUAAGUAACGAUAAAGCGGGUGAAAAGCCCGCUCGCCGGAAGACCAAGGGUUCCUGUCCAACGUUAAUCGGGGCAGGGUGAGUCGACCCCUAAGGCGAGGCCGAAAGGCGUAGUCGAUGGGAAACGGGUUAAUAUUCCCGUACUUGGUGUUACUGCGAAGGGGGGACGGAGAAGGCUAUGUUGGCCGGGCGACGGUUGUCCCGGUUUAAGCGUGUAGGUGUGUGUUCCAGGUAAAUCCGGUUCACUUUAACACUGAGGCGUGAUGACGAGGCACUACGGUGCUGAAGCAACAAAUGCCCUGCUUCCAGGAAAAGCCUCUAAGCAU
Molecule: ribosomal RNA, 1372 nt
Filed under: Salmonella enterica subsp. enterica serovar Typhimurium
Lineage: Bacteria; Pseudomonadati; Pseudomonadota; Gammaproteobacteria; Enterobacterales; Enterobacteriaceae
Description: partial 23S ribosomal RNA
Rfam family: Bacterial large subunit ribosomal RNA
Source: RNAcentral